AGUGAACGCUGGCGGUAGGCCUAACACAUGCAAGUCGAACGGCAGCACAGUAAGAGCUUGCACUUACGGGUGGCGAGUGGCGGAAGGGUGAGGAAUACAUCGGAAUCUACUUUUUCGUGGGGGAUAACGUAGGGAAACUUACGCUAAUACCGCAUACGACCUACGGGUGAAAGCAGGGGAUCUUCGGACCUUGCGCGAUUGAAUGAGCCGAUGUCGGAUUAGCUAGUUGGCGGGGUAAAGGCCCACCAAGGCGACGAUCCGUAGCUGGUCUGAGAGGAUGAUCAGCCACACUGGAACUGAGACACGGUCCAGACUCCUGCGGGAGGCAGCAGUGGGGAAUAUUGGACAAUGGGCGCAAGCCUUAUCCAGCCAUACCGCGUGGGUGAAGAAGGCGUUCGGGUUGGAAAGCCCUUUUGUUGGGAAAGAAAAGCAGCAGGUUAAUACCCCGCUGUUCUGACGGUACCCAAAGAAUAAGCACCGGCUAACUUCGUG
This 492-nucleotide ribosomal RNA is filed under the name uncultured bacterium. RNAcentral's name for it is "partial 16S ribosomal RNA". It matches the Rfam family "Bacterial small subunit ribosomal RNA", at positions 29 to 507 of the family's 1533-position model. The record is from RNAcentral.